This 497-nucleotide ribosomal RNA is filed under the name uncultured bacterium. RNAcentral describes it as "partial 16S ribosomal RNA". It matches the Rfam family "Bacterial small subunit ribosomal RNA", at positions 28 to 507 of the family's 1533-position model. The record is from RNAcentral.
GAUGAACGCUGGCGGCGUGCCUAAUACAUGCAAGUCGAGCGAACAGACGAGGAGCUUGCUCCUCUGACGUUAGCGGCGGACGGGUGAGUAACACGUGGAUAACCUACCUAUAAGACUGGGAUAACUUCGGGAAACCGGAGCUAAUACCGGAUAAUAUAUUGAACCGCAUGGUUCAAUAGUGAAAGACGGUUUUGCUGUCACUUAUAGAUGGAUCCGCGCCGCAUUAGCUAGUUGGUAAGGUAACGGCUUACCAGGGCAACGAUGCGUAGCCGACCUGAGAGGGGGAUCGGCCACACUGGAACUGAGACACGGUCCAGACUCCUACGGGAGGCAGCAGUAGGGAAUCUUCCGCAAUGGGCGAAAGCCUGACGGAGCAACGCCGCGUGAGUGAUGAAGGUCUUCGGAUCGUAAAACUCUGUUAUUAGGGAAGAACAAAUGUGUAAGUAACUAUGCACGUCUUGACGGUACCUAAUCAGAAAGCCACGGCUAACUACGUG